Molecule: ribosomal RNA, 528 nt
Filed under: uncultured bacterium
Lineage: Bacteria
Description: bacterial SSU rRNA
Rfam family: Bacterial small subunit ribosomal RNA
Source: RNAcentral
UCCUGGCUUAGGACGAACGCUGGCGGCGUGCCUAAUACAUGCAAGUCGAACGGUCUUUCUAUGGAAGCUUGCUUCCACUGAGAAGAUAGUGGCGAACGGGUGAGUAACACGUGGGUAACCUGCCCAUAAGAGGGGGAUAACAUCCGGAAACGGGUGCUAAUACCGCAUAGUUUUCUUGAUCGCAUGAUCGGGAAAGGAAAGACGGCCUUUGUGCUGUCGCUUAUGGAUGGACCCGCGGCGUAUUAGUUAGUUGGUGAGGUAACGGCUCACCAAGACGAUGAUACGUAGCCGACCUGAGAGGGUGAUCGGCCACAUUGGGACUGAGACACGGCCCAAACUCCUACGGGAGGCAGCAGUAGGGAAUCUUCCGCAAUGGACGAAAGUCUGACGGAGCAACGCCGCGUGAGUGAAAGAAGGUUUUCGGAUCGUAAAACUCUGUUGUCAGAGAAGAACAAGUUGGAGAGUAACUGCUCCAGCCUUGACGGUAUCUGACCAGAAAGCCACGGCUAACUACGUGCCAGCCGCCGC